CCUAAAGUUCCCAUGGGAAACUGCUCAGUAACACAUGAUCAACUUACCCUAUAGAGAAAACUAACCUCGGGAAACUGAGGAUAAUGUCUCAUAGCUGAAUUGGCUUGGAAAAGUUUUUCAGUAAAAGGGAUAAAAAAAAUGGUUUUUAUCUGCUAUAGGAUAGGAUCGUGGUCGAUUAUGGUUGUUGGUGAGGUAAUGGCUCACCAAGCCGAUAAUCGAUAGGGGCCGUGAGAGCGGGAGCCCCGAGAUGGGUACUGAAACAACGACCCAGGCCUUACGAGGCGCAGCAGGGGCGAAACCUCCGCAAUACACGAAAGUGUGACGGGGUUACCCAAAGUGUUCAAUUUUGAACUGUGAUAGGUGAGUAAUGUUCCCUACUAGAAAGGAGAGGGCAAGGCUGGAGCCAGCCGCCGCGGUAAAACCAGCUCUUCAAGUGGUCGGGAUAAUUAUUGGGCUUAAAGUGUCCGUAGCCGGUUUAGUAAGUUCCUGGUAGAAUCGGGUAGCUUAACUAUCUAUAUGCUAUGAAUACUGCUAUACUAGAGGGCGGGAGAGGUCUGAGGUACUACAUGGGUAGGGGUGAAAUCUUAUAAUCCUUGUACGAGCACCACUGGCGAAGGCGUCAGACUGGACGGUGAGGGACGAAAGCCAGGGGAGCGAACCGGAUUAGAUACCCGGGUAGUCCCGGCCGUAAACGAUGCAUACUAGGUGAUGGCUCGGCCAUGAGCCGUGUCAGUGCCGUAGGGAAACCGUUAAGUAUGCCGCCUGGGAAGUACGGUCGCAAGGCUAAAACUUAAAGGAAUUGGCGGGGGAGCACCACAAGGGGUGAAGCCUGCGGUUCAAUUGGA
Molecule: ribosomal RNA, 845 nt
Filed under: uncultured archaeon
Lineage: Archaea
Description: bacterial SSU rRNA
Rfam family: Archaeal small subunit ribosomal RNA
Source: RNAcentral